Acinonyx jubatus (cheetah) is the source of this 4009-nucleotide long non-coding RNA. RefSeq lists it as uncharacterized. The record is from RefSeq and is a predicted model, not a curated record. NCBI's taxonomy places the organism in Eukaryota, Metazoa, Chordata, Mammalia, Carnivora, Felidae. The transcript has 3 exons.
GUCCCUGAAAGCAAUGACAGAGUGAAAAGAGAAAAAUGAGCGUAAGCUGCAGCUGUCUUCAACCCGGGGGCCGUCUCCUCAGCUGCUCACCAACACUGCUCCCCACGCCCACGGCAGAGGUCAGACUUCGCCCGGUGAAGAGGAGACCUCCCUCCACGACUCUCUAAGAACUCGGCCUGCUGUGGUGGCGGGCAGAGAAACACCUGGAUCGCUCACUUCUUUUUAGUGCUGAAGAAUACGCCAUCCUCUGGAGGUUCCACAGUUCAUUUUCCACUCACCGACUAGAUGAAACACUACAGAGAGCCGCACCAGGAUACCUGCAACCCCCAAUGCCUUUUUACAGGCACAGCAACAACGUGAUACUGUUUUCCUGCUUUCUGAGGGCCAACCCCUCAACCCUCCCCAUCGCCACCUCUCCACCCAGCUCCUGGGCUUUCUUCCCAUUCCAGCCCGAGACAGAAAGCUCAAAGGGUAGGAAGGCUGAGAUGAGAAUGGGGAAGAUGAGAAAUGGUGAUGGCACAAUACCACAUGAACUGCAGUGACAAAGUGACGUUUUGUUCUGGCAUUCUCUAUAUAUGUUCAAGAACAAAAUUCACCAGACUCUUUGUGAUUUAUCUUUUUUGUGUUCUUCCUUUUUUGGGUAAAUGUUACAUACAAAGUAUUUGAAAGUAAAAAAAAAAAAUUCUUUGAAAAAUGUUAAUGAAACACUUUACGUAAAGAUUUUGAAAAAAGAAAAACUUUGAGAUGAAACAAUCAAAAAAUAAGAUGGAAAAAAGUAAACAAACAGAAGAAGUGAAAAGGAGGAGGAAGGAAACACUUCAAGGAGAAAGGAUAAAAGGAAAGGACUGUAAAAAUAGUGGCAAAAAUUGGGAAAAAGAGGCAAAAGUAUUCUAGCACCUCACUGCCUUCAAAGAAAGCAUCCAAGGAAACAGUUUGCUCUCUUGUCCUCCUAUUGUAAACUUAAAAUUGGAAGUCUUUGUACAGUAUAGUCUAUAGAGCAACUUGGAACCUUUCCUUCCCUUUGCUAUAAAAAAAAAACAAAAAACAAAACAAAACAAAAAAACCUUCCUGGCAAAUCAUUCAAAGCAAAUCUUGCACUGAACAUAAUACAAAAUUCUUGAAGCCAUGCUUUAAAAAUAUAAACGCUGCUGGGUAAGAAAAUCUUCAAGGGCCCUCCUGUCCCCUUCAUUGCUUUCAAACACAAGGAAUAAAAGAAUCUCUAACAAUUGAGAAAUGCCCAUUUCUCUCUUCCUUUCCCUCAAAGCCCCAGCUUUCAUUUCCCAAGGAUAACCCUGUAUGCAAGGCUGGACAGGGUAUUUCCAAUUUCUUCCAGCAGAUGGAAUAUAGACAUAGGUCAUAAGAACCCACAUAACACCAAAAAGCAGCACGUCCUUACAUCAAUCCCCAUCCUUACGCAUCACCCUUCAGAAGCGCUCGUUAAUUAUUUACAUUAAGAAGGGAGUUAUUUGGUUGGGUGCAGGGUAUCUUGUGAAGAAAUUCUAAAAGAAAAUAAGAACCAUACAGCAACAGAUGGGGAAGGGAAUAGAAGAUUAUCAAAAUCUAGAAAAAAAAAACACUAAGAAAGAACUAGAAUUAUGCAAGUAGCUGUAACCAAGAGAAUGUGAAGGAAACUUUCCACGGACUAUUAUGCAAACCCACCAAGCGGAUACACUCAGACCACCUUUAGGGCGGAAAGUAGGCACACCCACUUGACGGACACUGGAGUCUCUCCAAAUGGCUUUCAAAACCACAGGGAUCUCCCAGUCAGCUCACGUCCCCGGGCCUCCCCUCCUCCCUCCCUCCUUCUAAUACUCUGACAAGUGUCAAGAGUGAUGUUUGAACUCAAGAGCCUUCUUCUACUCAGGAUGCAGAGCAAGGGUAAGAUUCACCACACUGGGGCUGGGGCACCCUCGUACAGAUGCGGCUGUUCUGUCUUACAGGUUGCCUUCGUGAGAGAACGAACCCCUUUCCCCCAGUACAGCAGAUGCUCGGGGGUUGCUGGGUGCUAUGGUUAGAAAGGCGGAACAAGGCAGCAGAGUGAGCCUCUUUGAUGAGGGGGCAGGGCGGGGAGAGAUGGUUCUGGAUGAGAUUUCUUUAAUUCCUGCUGAAACAGGUGUCCCUCGUGACCUAUGAAGGAAACUCAGCAGAGACCAUUUUUCCCUUCAACAUUUCUAGUUUGGAAAGGGAUGUUGAGUUCACUGUGCUGUCUUCAGACAAGAGACAUCCGGAAAGUGCCUUGCAAGUGGGAGAAUGACCUCACGCAGCAGAAGCAGCAAGGGAAGAUACGGCUGCUUUGACAAAUCCAAGUAGAGAUUUGACUAUCAAAAUCUGUAUGUGCCUCAAACAUACUCCUUAAGCCUGUUAUAUUUUGUAUUUUGUACGUUGUGUUACACAUCACAUAUGUGUUGGUAUGUUUUGUGUAUGUCCUGGUAUCUUCAGAAUUCCUAAACGUCACGUGUUUUAAAAACAUAAUUAGAAAUAAACCUGUUAUAUGCUAUCAAACUAGUCCUGGAGAGUAAACGCUCUUUAUGCUUCACCAAGUCUAGAGAAGUAGAGAGCUGCAGACAGCAAUUCCAGAGAAAAGAACAAUAAAACUGUUGACAAGUGCUUGUUAGAGUGAUAUUCAGGCCAACACGGGAGGGUCCUGGUCGGACCGGUGGCUUCUCUUGUACUCCAGACGUAAUGCAUCUCGGCUGUCGAUCGCUGAGGACAUGACUCUAACGGCGGGUGACGGCUGUCCUAUACGAGCUCAGGGAACCAAGCUGACGCAGAAUUCCUAGCAAUACACAGUUCACCCACCGAAGUGAAAAUACGAAGACAAGGAAGGAUUUCGGUAAAAUUUCGUGCGAAGCAGAAAACACAGGACUGAGGGCCACUCCCAAAGACCACUGAAGAGUCACUACACUCGGGUCCUGGAAGAAACCCCAAACCAUUCUGAGGGCCUCCAGGGUCCACCCACUUUUCCUGACUGGGCUCCCCCAUCUUCCCAGGAAAACGAUGGUGCUAGACGGGGAUUGCCUCUCCUGGGCCACACGUCUGUCCGACUAGGGACUAUAGCCUCAAACCUGCUGCUCAUUCAAUUCUCAUCAGAGGCCCGACUCUAAGGAAGUUUCCAAGGACGAUGCACCUGAAGGACAGACAGACAGGGACGUGCAACACGCCAGGUAAUUCAAACUUACUCCCGAGUGAAUCCAGACCAUCAAAAGCUACAUAUUCACCAAACUUUGCUUUGAGUGUCAUGCUGUGUAACUAUGUCGCUGUUGGCACGGAACGAAGUGAGCGAGAGAUGGUGGGAAGAAACUUCCUACUGGAGUGACAUAGAAAUUAUAACUUGAAAGGCCUAGAGUGCGGCCGGACAUCUGGAUUUUCCAUAAAUUUUCCGCAGACGUGCACUAAAGGUUAAAACGCACUGCCCCAUUUUACAGACGGUGGAGACGAUGUUCAGACUACUGUCAUGUUGACGUACGGGUCUCCUCUUAAACAAGAUCUGCGGGGAGAAAUUUCCCUUAGGUCUCGGUUCAGAGCCACCCCGAUUCUACCAAUACCGUGAAACUCGUAACUGGCGGUGCCUCGAGGCAAAUCUGCAGCUCCCUCCUAAACACCGGGCAGAACCCGAAGGCCCGAGGGAGGCAUUGUGGGUGUGGUGGAAAGAACUCGGGCUUUCGAAGCAGAGACGGGGUUUAAAUCCCAGCUCUCGUCCGGCUGCGCAACCUGUUUCUCAUCCAAGAGGCUGGGGAUGACGGUCCGGGCCUCACGAAGUUGCGGAGGACCACGGAGGUGCGGGGGUCCAGUGGCCGGGCCGCCAAGCCCGCGGCCGGCAGUCCCGGCACGUCCGAGCCCGGCAGCGGAGCCACAUGACACAGUGUUUUCCGACUGCGCGUUCCUGCGUGCUAGCUCCCACUCUGCCCCGCCGGGACUCCCUGGCCGGUUUGGCCCGUUCUGGGGCUGGAUGCCCGCCGGCCGGGCUGCGCACACGCGCGCGCGCGCGCGCACACACACACACACAUAC